AUUGAACGCUGGCGGCAUGCUUUACACAUGCAAGUCGAACGGCAGCGCGGGCUUCGGCCUGGCGGCGAGUGGCGAACGGGUGAGUAAUACAUCGGAACGUGCCCAGUAGUGGGGGAUAGCUCGGCGAAAGCCGGAUUAAUACCGCAUACGACCUGAGGGUGAAAGCGGGGAUCUUUGGACCUCGCGCUAUUGGGGCGGCCGAUGGGAGAUUAGCUAGUUGGUGGGGUAAAGGCCUACCAAGGCGACGAUCCGUUGCUGGUCUGAGAGGGCGACCAGCCACACUGGGACUGAGACACGGCCCAGACUCCUACGGGAGGCAGCAGUGGGGAAUUUUGGACAAUGGGCGAAAGCCUGAUCCAGCAAUGCCGCGUGUGUGAUGAAGGCCUUCGGGUUGUAAAGCACUUUUGGCGGGAACGAAAAGGACUGUGCCAAUACCACGGUUCGAUGACGGUACCCGCAGAAUAAGCACCGGCUAACUACGUG
RNAcentral lists this ribosomal RNA (483 nucleotides) under uncultured bacterium. RNAcentral's name for it is "partial 16S ribosomal RNA". It matches the Rfam family "Bacterial small subunit ribosomal RNA", at positions 29 to 507 of the family's 1533-position model. The record is from RNAcentral.